CAAUAGCGUAUAUUAAAGUUGUUGCGGUUAAAAAGCUCGUAGUUGGAUUUCUGCCGAGGACGACCGGUCCGCCCUCUGGGUGUGUAUCUGGUUUGGCCUGGGCAUCUUCUUGGAGAACGUAGCUGCACUUGACUGUGUGGUGCGGUGUCCAGGACUUUUACUUUGAGGAAAUUAGAGUGUUUCAAGCAGGCACACGCCUUGAAUACAUUAGCAUGGAAUAAUAAGAUAGGACCUCGGUUCUAUUUUGUUGGUUUCUAGAGCUGAGGUAAUGAUUAAUAGGGAUAGUUGGGGGCAUUCGUAUUUAACUGUCAGAGGUGAAAUUCUUGGAUUUGUUAAAGACGGACUGCUGCGAAAGCAUUUGCCAAGGAUGUUUUCAUUGA
RNAcentral lists this ribosomal RNA (380 nucleotides) under uncultured eukaryote. RNAcentral's name for it is "partial 18S ribosomal RNA". It matches the Rfam family "Eukaryotic small subunit ribosomal RNA", at positions 592 to 976 of the family's 1831-position model. The record is from RNAcentral.